UUUUCCACUGCCCUGACAGCAAUCAGUUUGUACUGGAGAAAUCACAAGAAGAAAAACAAAUCUGUACGUUAUAGAAGGAGGGAGGGUAGGAGUAGAAAAGGAGCCUCCCCUCUCUCUCCUCUCCCAGACGUGCAGAGCUGUGCUCCAGAAUCGAAGUACUUCCCACUGCUGGUGAUUGCUGGGCUGGGCCCCCCAGUGCUGGAGCCACCUGUGGGUCCCAGAGCCGUGCUGGCAUUCCCUGUGCAUCUGACACAUGCUUCCUCUCAGCCACAAACACCACUCCUUUGCUUCAGGAAGCAGCCAAAUGAUGUAGGCUUCAGUAGGCACUUUUUUACCACAUUUACCCCUUCUGCUCAUCUUUGCAAGCAAAGCACUAAACCUGCCCCCUGUUCUCAGCUCUUGCAUGUAGUGUUAUCCUUUAAAAAAAUCCUGCAGAGUAUUUAUACAGGAUGUUUUAAUCACCAAAGAGUCUGAUUCGUGUUCACUGGAUUAGUUUCAUAUAAUGUGAAGUUAUGUGAGUCUGUGUAUUUCCUCCUCCAUUUUCCUUUUCUCUCCUUUUUGUUGGGCCUCAGUAGUCUGGGAGGGAUGGUUUGCAUGAACCUUUGCACACAGUAGCCAAAGUACUUAUCCAGGAACCUCUAAUUCAACCAAAACUCCUUCGUUCUCGCCCCACCAGAGGAUUUAGGUUAGUAGCACUGCAAACAGGCUGUGCCUGACUGGCACCCUGAGCUGCUUGCAAGACUUGGGGCAAAUUUUUUCUUUGGGCUGUGUCCUGUAAAAUGAAAACUUUCAGCUUUGUCUACACAAAAGUGUUUUGAAAGCAGGGUGGGGGAGAACCCCUCUCUCCAGUAUUUACCAAUAUUAAACAUUUUCUUACAAUAAGUGCACAGAAUCCCAUAAUCCAAAAUAUGUACCAGAAGAAGUCACCUGUGCUCUGCAUGGAAUUUUUGUCCUGUUUUGGGCUUCUUGCCCUUGUAUCCUUACAGCCUUUUAUAUCUAACAUUCAUAAUAAUGGCCAUCUCCUUAGGGUCUGCAUGCCCAUCUUUUGGGUCUUGGCAGCAUCAAAAGCAUCAGCAUCUGUUCAGAAUUUCAUUCAUUGUAACAAAAGACUUAUAAGUCUCAAGCCUCCCUAACCAAGGCCGUAAUUAAAGUCUUUCUAGUCCCCUGCUUUGAAAAUUGUAACAAGAUUUGCUGGAAACAGAGACAGCACAUGGCCAGUGUUUAUGGCUGGUGCAGCACCAUUUUGAAAACCCACCCAUAAACCUUUCAAACAAGGCAGGGAGCGCACCUCAGCAGUGGCCGGCUGCUGCCCAGAGUUGGAAGCUGGUGCAAAGGCAGAGGCUGAGCUCAGCCUCCCAUCCCCCUGACACAGGCUCUUUCAGAGGCUGCCAGAAAUCAUUUCACCACUUUUAAGGUGCAUUGCACUUAGCAGGACAAAUGCCAGAGGAGGAAUUUUGUGUGCUUGAAUAAUGUUGUAAUUUACCUUAUAACCGGUCUCAUUACGAUGUUGAGUGCUCUGUUGAUUUACCUGGCUUUUGAUUUAGUGGACUCUUUUUAAACGACAGUUUAGGAAUGCAGCCAGUGACUGCAGGCAAAGGACCUUAAACCUUUUUGGAGGUACAGUCAUCUGUUCAGACACCGACUUUUUAAAAUCAAGAUAGACAUCAGACAGCCACACCAGACCCAUAUACAGAAAGCCAUGACUGAAUUAGACUGGGACAUUAGUUCAGAGAAAUAAUUUAAUAAUGAUACAUGCUGCAUCAGUGCCCCUUUGUUUCCUUUUGAGUUUGCCCCUUGCACAAACCCAAAUUGUUGGCAGGUAGAGGGCAGAACCCUUGCUGCUGGCUGGGUCGAUGUGCAGCAUCCUCCCCACAGCUGUCCCAGCUGAGGUGGGUGCCAGCAGUUGGCUGAAUUCCGUCUCUGUUGCGUGACCCUGGGGUCUCACCGUGGAGAUUCAGGAACUCUCUUCACAUGGCAAAACAACCAUCAACAAUGAAAAUACCGAUGCUCUGCAUUUCUUCCUGGACCCUGCUGAUGGAAUGUGCAAUGCAGGGUGGUUAAAAAAUAAGAGCAUGUCUAACUAUUUGUACUUGUGCAGUAUUGCCAGACUUGCAAAGAGAAAGUGACAAGGUUUUGUACCAGGCGCCAUAUUUUAGCUCUGGAAAUAUUUAAAGUUUCAGAAUUCCCCAGUUGCUGGUAUAGGGGCUGGUAACACAUAUUUUGCCUCAUUUGGAAGUACUUAGUAAGGGAAGGGCUCAUUGGGUACACAGGGACUCAAGCUGGCAGCAGAGCAGACCCUUUGCCUUGGGAAGGAAACAUCACAUUUACAAUGUCUGUGGCAGACUGGGACCUGUGGUAGGGAUCAGUUCCUGCACACUGUGGGGAUGGUGGCUUUCACCUCAUCCGUCCUCCAAGGCAUAGGAUCACACCUUCAUUUUCAGCCAGUGCAAAGCGUUUUUUCCCCAGAUGUCCACGUUUCAUCUGAAGGAGCAGGAUUGCUGCAGGAGGCUUAAUGGAAGCAGUGACUCAGGAAGAUGGACAUAAAGCCUGGGGUGUCUGCAUGUGCAGAAGUAUUGCUUCACUCAGCAGUCCAAGAGCUAGUGGUUAAGUUUGGAUGGUCAGGAGUCAGGAAAAGCUGCACAUGCCCUUCCAGUGCAGAAGGGACACCUUUCCCUCUUGCCUAGCCCAUAAGAUCUACAAUCCCUGGAAAUUCUGCUUUUAGUGACAGGUUCUGAAAGUUCUUCUCAUUCUCUCCCCUCUGCCAGUGCUUGGUCCCUGAGUUCAUCUCCCCCCACAGUCAGAGACCUAGAUUGAGCUGAUCUACUCCAAAGGCAGCCUGUCUUGAGCUGUGGUCACAACCAAGUGCCCUGUGAGCCCAAACAUGUACUUUGCCACCUUCACUUCUAUGCAUAUGGAAGCAUCUCAUUUUAGAUCCAAGGUUCUGUGACCCUGUGCACAGAGCAGGGCCAGCAGUGAGGUGCGCUUUGUAGCCUUCCUCUUUAUAACUGGGAACCAGCCUCUUUCAUACUUCAAGUUCACUGCUGGGAGCACCCUCACUGCCACGUGGAAUGAAUGACCCGAUGUGAAGUCCUGGAUUCCCUGGCAGCAGCAUGAGCCCUCUUUUCCAAUAUCUCAGCUGCACUAUUAUUUACUUGUCAGACUGCUGCUAUUCCUACUGCUUCUCAGCACCAGCAGUCUUUGCCUUCAUUAGUUUCCUCCUGCUCUAGUUCAUUAAACCUGCAUUUAAAUGUGCUAUUGGUUCUCCCUAAAUGAAUAACCUUCCAUUGUGUAAUAUUGAAUUCCUUUGUAUUAGCCCGUUCCCCCCAGUGUCUCCAAAUCCUCCUGUAGUCUAGUGCGUUCCUGAAAUUUAUCAGCAGCCUCCCCUCCUAUCAUGAUGUCAUCCGCAUCUGGACACCCGGCACAUCGCGCCAGCCUCGGGCUCAUUUGUGCAAAACCCUUAAACAGAACAAGUCCCGGCUCUGAGCCCCAGGAGAUCUGAUCUGUAAGUUCUCUUCUGGUGCACGGAGCUAUUUAUUGCACUUCUCUCUUCCCUAACCCAAGUUUAUCCUCCUAAUAUUGAUACUCCAAUACUUGUAUACAUUUUACUGACCUCAUUUUCUGAGGCAGAGUCAGUAACCUUGUUAAACUCUAGCAAACACAAAAACAUUGCUUUAAACUCUUCUGGGCUCACCUUCACAAACUUUAUGAAUAGGAUUUGGACUACUCUAGCAGCAAUUUUGACUAUGGCCUUUUGUGCCAGAUGCUUGCAUUCACCAGUCCCUGCUCCCCCUUUUCCCUGCACUUGCAGCAUGAUAGGGUAACUCAGGGGAUGAGAGGUAUUUAGGGAGAAAUGAAAUAUUUUCCAGGUUAUGAAAUGUGGUGCCAAGGUUUUAUUCCCUCAUUUGUGGCUUUGCCCUAUUGAGAAGCAUCCUUUACAUUUGAUGUAAAGUAGGUAAUGAAUUACAGUCCAAUGGUGUAAAGAAAUAUACUCUCCUCUGCUAUUAUUUUCACCACACUUUAAGCAGCCCAGCUUUUCCAAAGACAAGGGUCUUGAACAGGGAUGAAACUCGGAGCUUUUCAACCUAAAAGAUGAAAUGAUAGGAACUGUGUGCUAUUGGACAUGAAGGGUUAUAAUGGGGUUAGUGACACAGAUGUCUCCAGCUGCAAUGUACUGCAGCAGCAAUGACAAGGUUCAGGUACAGCAUUUAGUGGUGCCAAGGUCAUGGCUAAGUGACCAGGGAAUCAGGGGCACCUUGCAAUAGCUGUGGAAUCAGGGGCACCUUGGUGGUAGGCUGACUUUGAUCCCAACACCCAGCACGACAUUGUGCUAUCCUGCUUGCUGUGGCUGUCCAGGAAUGCUACAGACCUCGACUAAUUCUAAUUUCUCACAGAAAUACCCCAAGGAUGGGGAAUUUCUGAGAAGCACUUCAGUCAGGUUGGCAGGGACAGAAGCUUCUCUUUGCCAGAGGGAUCUUGAAAGGCUGGCAAGAGAUUGGGCUUUUUACGUACACCAUUUUCACAGCUUGCAUUUUGUCUCCCUCAUUCUUUUCACACCUCACUCCAUGCACAAUUAGAGUUUUCUUUACUGGGGUGGUUUGACUGAGGGGGCCAGCAACCCAAAAAGAAUUGCCAGACUCCUGUAGUUUGGUCGAGGAUAGGUUUGGUUGUUUGUGUACGGACAUGAUGUACAAGCUCAAAGCCUUUUUUCCAUUAGAAGCAUUCCUGUUUUGUGACAUCCCUGCAUGCUGAAGUAGCUAUCUUGAAGAGCAAAUGCUGAAAAUUAAAAUCUUCUUGAGUCAAGCCUCCUCAUUAGCAGUCUGCCUGGCUAGACUCUACCUUAUUAUUUUUUGCUGUGUGUAGCUGUAAAGAGAAAACCAAGGAGAAAAAUAGGCAAUUAAAAUGCAUUAAAUUGAUUUCUAAAUGAGUAUGCAGAACCAGAAAGUCCCAGGAAGAACCCCAUCUCUUCUUUUGCAUCUGUUGCUGUAUGUGAGAGUGCAAAUUCACUAGCAGCUAGAACAAGACACAUUUGCAAACAUUAGCAGGGUUAAAAUUCUAUCUGAGAUCCCUCUGAAUCUCUGAAAACUAAAUGUGUUAAGUCAUUGCAGUUGCUUGGCAUGCACUGUAGAGCAGGACCUUCCAAAAGCCAUGGAAAAGUUUUUCAGGAUGAACACAGCCCCAGCAGUCCAAAUAUGAGACUCUCCCCUCCGCAAAGGCAGAGAAUCCUUUUCCUCAUUGCUAAGAAAAAUGCCAAAAAGCACCUCAUGAUUCUUCUGCUCCAAACGGUGCUCUGGUGCAACAGUGAAACUGCGAGUGUUACGAAACCCCACAACGUCCCAACACCAGGCUCUGCGUUUGCACUGUGCCUCAGGUCUCAUCAGCAGACUCUUCCACAUCAAGUUAAUGCAGAUCCAUCAAAUGCAGGCCUGGAAUAGUUACAGAAAACUAUGAAGAUGGUACAAAUUAAUCUCUUGUCCCUUGCUUCCGGGACUUUCAUUACUAUCUUCCUUCCAAGAGUCCAAUUAGAUUUCAGAUUGCUUUUUAAGCACACUGAGUAAACGAUGAAAUUAAAGAAACCUCUUAACUGCGGUGUAUGAGAAGGAGGCUGCCCACAGAUGUGCGCGUGGUGCAAGAGAGAACUGCAGGGACAGAGCUGUGCAGACAGGAAUGCCUUUGUUAAGCUACGAGGCAGAGCAAUGGCAGAACAACCUCCCGGAGCUGGGUCUAUCCACCAGGCUGAUUCUGGGGAAGGCAGGUGUGGAAAGACAGACUAAAGACUGGAGCUGAAGAUUGUUUCAUGGAAUUGUUUCACAGAAAUUGCCUUUGGGACUUCAGCUGAAGAAUCUGUCACCAGAGGUGAGUCUUUGAGGUGAAAGCCACUUGUGUUUACUGCUCAGGGGCUGCUCCCUGCUUGCUGCCCAGCACUGAUGCCCUGAGCAGUCCAUAAGAGCUGUGCCACAAUGCAAGUCUCGUGGUGUUUCUCAAGUUACAUGAGUCAAAGCUGUCAAGUCUGUAAGUCUGGGAUUUGGCUCCAAGUUUCACUGGCUGCACUCCAAGAAGUGGCUGCAGACCAAUUUCACAGAAGCGGCCAGCAACCCCUAGCAGGACAAAGAAAGGCUAUUUCCACCCACCAUAGCCUCUCCUCCUCCCCACAGAAAGUUCCUUCACUGGUUGCUGUGCUGCAGAGCUCCAGCAAUACACAGAUCUGGGAGCUCCUGUAACUGUUCUCGGAGUGCCAAGAGGUAGAGAGUGACCCACAGGGUAAGGCAGACUGAGACCUCAGAAACUGCGUGCAUGGGCACAGACGCACACAGGAGUAGCCCCUCUUUCAGAGUUAGCUGGCUAGCUAGACUUGGUGGCCUCAGGGAAAAACUUAGUCUGGCAGAGGUGUUUGAAGGAUGUCCGCUGCCUGGGUACAAAGCUCAGUGCAAGACUACUUGUGUCCUGGGAUUGGUUUGGAUGAACAGUAUUUAAGGUUGGUAUCAGUGGCAGAUCAGAGGAGGGUUAAGGCAGGGUAGUAAGACAUCCAUUUGGGAUAACUGUGAAGGGGCCAAAGCAUGGGCUCACAUUUUAGUGAUGAGAGUCUUUCAGGAAUGUUGUUGUGAAGGUCUGACGUGGAGCAGGAGAAGGCAGAGAAGGGCUAUCGGAACGCUGGUUCAGUUCAGAGGCCACACCACAAUGCUGGGUCUGGCAGAGUAGCCCUGUGGAGGCCAUUGAUUCAGAAGUGGUGAGGAGGGGAGUGUUUUGCUGAGAUGGAACACCCUGUCCUGCUAGGAGCAUGGGAUCGUGUUGCUUCUGAUGCUUGGCACUAGUGGUCAGCAAAUCUGGCAAAAAGUGAUUAAUGAGGGCCCCAACACAAAGUCUGUCCCAACCCAGCUGCCUCCACCAUACAGAUGUUAUCACAGCAAACAUUUUGUGGGGUGUUAAGGGCUUUUUCUCCUCCCUUCAUCCAAUUAAAAGUUCAAUAAAAACCACAAGCUUGCCUUAGAGGGCAAGGCCUCUGAAUACCCAAGCCUUUGGUUUGAAGCUAGCCUGGAUGAACUGCUGGCAGAAAUACCUCCACCUUUCAACACCCCCACUGGUAAAUAAAUUAGCCUGUCACUGAGACUGCAUCCUCAGUGGCUGCACUUCACAUCACUGUGGUGAUGAUGUUUGACAGUGACUGAAUUGGAAAGAAGCUCUUUACAUAACAGAUUUUUGUCUCAUCUAAAAAAUUUAAGGAUUUAAAAAUUUAAAAUUUUUACCGUUCAGGAAACUUCCCCCUCUGUGGAAACAGUUUUAGAAAACGAGCACCAUGUGCUUUGAAAGGAUUUUUUCCUUAGUUGUGAUGACCCUGAAUGUGGAAUUUUACUUAUUUGUUGGCUUGCAUCGCCCUCUUCUGGAUUGUAUAAAAACACCAGAAAGUUUCACAAGAAACUUGCCCGUGGAAAUAAACUAAAGCAAAACUCCCCAUGUUUAUUGAUGCUGACGCUUAUCUACUUAAAAGGAUCAAUCAUUCAGACUGGAACAGUGCCCACCUUUGGAAAGCAGGGAUGCUGAAUGGCAAGAGAAACGAUGCAGGAGUUGCUUCCCACCGGGUGAAAGGGGAUGGUGGCUGUGAAACUGGGUUGGCAUGGAGAGCUUGUACAGACAUUCUCUCCCCACUGCCGGCUCCCUGGAACGAGUGUACAGCUAUUUUGGUCACUACACUGUGCUAAGAAGCUUCAGUUCUCUCGCUUAAGUUCCACAGGAACUGCUUCUGACAGUGCUGCCUGUGCUUUCCAUGGACGAGACUAACAGGUGUUUGAGCAGUUCUCGGGCUGGAACACAGCUACAACAAAGAGCUGAUGGCCGGGGAGCUCCGGGAAGGGGCAGGACAGCAAGUCACCUGCUCAAACCUGCCCAGACGCAGCACCAAGGCACAGCUGUGAGCAGGACAGAAGCCCCUGUAGGUGUAUUUCCUGUACUCAGAAGUGCACAUAUUUGUGUCAGAUUGCAGCAAUCUGGAGGAUGAGAAGAAAAUUGAGUGAUGGGUACGGAAUUACACCAAAGUUAACCAGAUAACUUCUAGAGCAACCAUGUCUGAAUAUAGCAAAAAUUCACACUUUAUUUUCAUGUAAAAAAAUUCAAAUCUAAGUGAAGUGGUCCUAAGGUGAUGUGCCUCAAACAAGAAGGAUGAUCAAUCUCAGGUGAAAAGUGAAGAAGUCCUUCCUUCAUGCCAUGUGUAAAUGACACUGUCAAGCCCCCUCCAUGUCAGAGAUUUUAAAUCAGUAGAUUUACCACCUUGAUGAAAAUUCUUCUUCUAAGAAAAAGGUAACAUUUCUUUCCUCCCAAGUCAUGUCAGGGACAUCCUAGGACCUUUCUCCUUACAGAGAAAUCCUAGCCUUAUCAUCUCACUCUCUCUCACUAUUACUUGUUGUAUUUUCUCACUUCCAUACAUUCUCAGUGGUGGCAAAACUUCUUCUCUUAUCAGUGUCUUAAUGAGUAAAGGGGGUCUUUCUGUCUCUCUGAAUAACCUGUAUCAUUAUCUACAGUAUCCUACUCUGCUCCAUAAUGUGAUACCAACACCAUUAUCUAUUUGCUGCUCAUAUACUGUGGUUUAUUCCCUUCCAGCUGAUCCUUUUGGUCGCCCAAUUUAAGAUUAAUCAAAAGACUGAAGGCCUGUACAACUUGCAAGCAGCUCCCAUUUUUUCUUUCUCUUAAGAAGAGAUAAAGUUCCCACAUUUUUUAUGCCUGGGAAAAGUAUCAAACCAAGAAAGGAGGGACACAAAGUAGAAGAGCUGUGAGAUGUCUGCGACUCAAACAGGACUGGCAGACUUCUGCCUCCAAAGGCAUUUCCAGUGUCUGACCAGAACACGUAAAAUUGUGCACUUUGGACAUCUCUGCUGCUAUGCCCUGAGGUAGCUGCCUCUAAGGCAGGCUUUGCUGUAAGAAGCCUUUCCCUGCUUCUGCAGCAAUGACUCCAUCACUCACAGUGAUGAUACGUCUGAACUGGCAGAGUGAGUUACCUGCGUGUCAAGAAGAAAGACUCCUGUGCUGCCGUGUACCAGAUCAGUGACUGUGGCUGGCUCUGUGUUACAGCUGAGCUAUAACCUUGCUCUCCCUCCUCACCUGCCAUCUCCAAGUAAUUGCUUUUGGACAGAUGGCAAGAUGGCACCAUGGUUAUGUGACUGCAGCUUGACUUUUUCCCACUCCCCCCAAAUCUGCUUCAGGUUAUACAAAGAGAGCUUAUUUUUCUCCUCCCUGCCUCCCUUCUAGCUCUACAAACCAGUUUACACAGAAUUAAAUUGUUUCAACAACUGGAGAACUGCUCAGGCUGGGGACUUCUUUCACCCCUGUCCCAACAUUCCAGUGGGCACAGCUGAACCAAAGCACAGAGGGACCAUGCUGUGGUUGCCCUUAUGAGGGUAACAUGACAGUGCAAAUGUUGUGUGACAGCCCAUCCUGGUCAUUCCUGGUCAGGAGAAAUCAAAUCUCUUCUAAUGCAAGCAGAGCCAGCCCGAUACCCAAGCUAGGCAGAAAUGCAAGGCAUUUUGACUGUCUGGAAUAGUUUCUUUCAGGCAGGUGUUCCCAAGAUGGGUUGUUAAAAACAUAAUUUCUCUCAGUAGUUCCAGACAUUCAGGUGUGAGUCUCACAGACAUCUUAAAAGGUUUACUUUCUUAAAUAUUUUUUUUUCAAAUAAGAUUUGCCAUGUGGGUUUCUUGUUUGGUUUUUUUCUUCUAAGUUGCUGUCAGCAGCAACUAAGGUUUUUUUUCUAAGUUGCUGUCAGCAGCAAAUUUCUUCCUUCCACCUCUUAUUUCAUGGAAUCAUACAAUAAUUGUAAAUUAAAACACUUCAAGAGUCUUAAACCUUGAGAUUAACUAUAACAUCCAAUUUCUGAGCAAAUGUAUGGAUAUCCUUAUAUGUUGCUUUCAACUUUCAACCCUCCAUGUAUUAUAAUACCAAAAAUGAUGUAAAAGGACCUACCAGAAUUAAAACUAGCCAUGCAUGGGUAGGAAGGUAAUGUGAAGACUUCCAGCUAGGUUAUUUUAAAAUAUCAGUUUAAUAAUUUGGUAACUUGAAAUAUUUUACUAUUUUCUCAUGUGAAGAAGAUUAUGCAAGAAAUUGAAAGGCAGCUAUAAGCAAGGCAAAACCACUACAGCCACAGGGUAAAAGUUUCAAAGCCAUUCGCUUUUGUUUCCCUUCACCUCCUUCCUAGAAUUCAAUAAAAUUGUAUGUGCUCAGGUUUGUUGCAUUUAUUUAUUUUCAAUCACAGAUUGUCUACAAUUGCUUUAGUUGCAUUUGGAUAAGUGUAAGUAUGUUCUAGACCACAUCUGUGUCACCUGUCCUGCUCAUGACACUCACACAGAAAAUUACCUUCUACAGCUGGGAUCAACCCCAUUCAGCUGGGAUCAAGAUAACCAACAGACAUAUUGAAGCGACUGUCAUGGAAAAGUCAAUACCCUAAUGAAGGGAAAAGGAUCUCUCCUUUCCCUCUGUUCAUCAACUACAUUGGAAAUCUAGGAGUUCAGCUCACGUGCUUAUAAAACAUGGUCCACGUAUUGUUAUAGAGACAUGAUUACCAUUUCAGAAGUACAUAUCUGACAUAGGACUUCACAAAAGUAAACACUCAUUUAAUACCAAGAAAAUCUAAGGUCCUUCUGGGUGUAACUUGCAGAGCCAAGGCCUAAAUCUGUUUAUGUAAGCUGAACCUCAAAAGCAAGAUGCGAUGCAUAGAUGGAAGACGACCAACUCUGAGCUUGUGCUUAUCUCCCAAAUCUUAUGCAUAUGGUUGUGAGCCCAGAACGUGUAAGACAAAAAAGUCUGAAGAAAACACCACCAACAUUUCAGAAGAACUGCACACCAGUGACUUUCUUCAUUGUUUAAAAGUAAUCACCACUUAUUGGGGAAAAGAAAA
Passer domesticus (house sparrow) is the source of this 10873-nucleotide long non-coding RNA. RefSeq lists it as uncharacterized. The transcript has 6 exons. Lineage: Eukaryota; Metazoa; Chordata; Aves; Passeriformes; Passeridae. The record is from RefSeq and is a predicted model, not a curated record.